GAUGAAGAACGCAGCGAAAUGCGAUAAGUAAUGUGAAUUGCAGAAUUCAGUGAAUCAUCGAAUCUUUGAACGCACCUUGCGCCCUUUGGCCAUUCCGAAGGGCAUGCCUGUUUGAGUAUCAUGAACACCUCAACUCUUUAUGGUUUUCCAUGAUGAGCUUGGACUUUGGGGGUCUUGCUGGCCUGCGGUCGGCUCCUCUCAAAUGAAUCAGCUUACCAGUGUUUGGUGGGCAUCACAGGUGUGAUAACUAUCUGCGCUUGUGGUUUUCCACCAAGUAACCUUCAGCAGUGGAGGUUCACUGGAGCUCACAGACGUCUCUCCUCAGUGAGGACAGCCCUUUGAAUGUUUGAUCUCAAAUCAGGUAGGACUACCCGCUGAACUUAAGCAUAUCAAUAAGCGGAGGA
RNAcentral lists this unclassified non-coding RNA (404 nucleotides) under soil metagenome. RNAcentral's name for it is "partial contains 5.8S ribosomal RNA, internal transcribed spacer 2, and large subunit ribosomal RNA". The stretch from base 1 to 121 matches the Rfam family "5.8S ribosomal RNA", at positions 35 to 154 of the family's 154-position model. The record is from RNAcentral.